Molecule: long non-coding RNA, 1718 nt
Filed under: Mytilus galloprovincialis (Mediterranean mussel)
Lineage: Eukaryota; Metazoa; Mollusca; Bivalvia; Mytilida; Mytilidae
Source: RNAcentral
AACAAAAAUGCAAUUUAUAUUUUUGAAUCUUGAUGUUUAUAUUUUUUCCCGGUGAUGAAGAUCUCAUGAAGAAAUAUAUAUGACAUUAUAAAUAAAAUAUAUUUUAUGCCUCGGCUGUGAUGGAAGGGGCAGAAAGGUUUACCUGUGACAAUAUGUCUCUAACUUCAGUUUGUUGACCAAAUGUUAUUGAAUUCUUACACAAUGAUUAUUACCACAAAAAUGCAUAGAUCAAAUUUGAACUUGGGUGUGGUUGCUUUCACUGUUCUUGAGUUAUGUCCUUUUAUAAAUAGAAAAAUAGCUGAAUGUGCUGUUUUUUCAUUCCAAACUUUACUUUUCUACAAUCUGAAACUUAUAUACAAUGCUGACUGCCGCCAAACACAGAUCAUUUGAGGAUUUGAGGAAUAAAUUAAAAACAUUUUGCGGUUUGACUCUCAAUACAUGUGUAAUAGUGUAUUGUUAUUGUUUACUCUUUAGUGCAUAACUUGUUGACAUUAAAUAUUAUUUUAUAUGUUGUUUUAAUAUUGUUAUUUUCCCCAAUCAUUUGGUUGGUCAUAUCUCAGUUAGUGAAGCCAGAUUUAUUUUUGUUUAUAAAUAUAUAUUUUAUGUGUGCAUGCCUUUAUUUAGACACACACCUUUUGUUUAUUUUUUAUCCUCUAAUACUAAGUGUAGCAUACAGAAUGAGUAAAUCGGAUAUUUUCAGUAAUACUAGAUCUCAAAUACCAAAUAAUGUCCAAAGAAGGUAGAAAUAUAGAGGUAGGCAUUGUGACAUAUUGAUACUUAAUCUUGUUUUACUACCAUUAACCGUUAACAUGUUAAUUUAACUUUAUAUUUGAACUCAGAAGAAUAAAGAAAUUGGGUCAUUAUGGUCAAUUUACAGUGAAAAUGCUCAUUCCUGCAUUCCCUUAUCAUUAUUUAUUUAUAAGCAUAAGUUUUCAUAUCCAAAUUCACUUGUAAGUAGGCUUUCCCAUUUGCUAACAAAGAAUUGUAAUAAUUAUUCUUUCUGAACUUCUAAAAUGUAUUUAGAAUAAUGUGUGCUUAAUUUAGAUUGCUGUGUAUUUAUAUCUUGAGUAUAAUGAUUAUAUGCUAUUUGCUAUUGUUUACAUACUAUUGUUAUGAUUUGAAUAUAAAGCUAGGAACAGAAAUGUCUACAUGUUAAGUAUGUAUAAGUAUGAUCUCUUAAGUGAAUCUUUUUAAAAAUUACUUAAACAUUUGACAUAAAGGUAGGUCAGGUGUUGUCACACUGAAUGCAAUCUGGUGCAAACCUCUGCUUUCUAAUGUACCAAAUAUUCAAACAUAGAUAUGUGAUUAAGGAAAGUUAAAGCUUGAUAUUUAUAAUACUAUUAAGUUUAGUAAAAUACAACAUCUAUCAUUUUGUUCAAUUACUUUAAUAUGUAGAAAUAUAUCAGAAUUAAUUGAAAGCAGGUUGAAAUUUCAAUAUUGUAGGUGUUUCAAAAUACAUCAUAUGAUAAUAUCUCAAUAGAGACAUUUUGUAUGUAUUAUAGAAGAUAUUUAAAUGCAUAUCAGCAUACAGAGGGUUAGUUGUGGUAAAUUAUUGGUAUUUAAGCAUAGUGUGUAAGCAAAUAAAAGAUUUGUUGUUGAGAUUUUAUAAAUAAAGGACAUGCAUCAUACUUGAUGAUUAUUUUCUUAGAAUGAUAAAUUAGAACCAAACACCUGUCCACUACAACAGAUGUUACCUCAAGUUGGUCAAGGUAUUUACU